Molecule: unclassified non-coding RNA, 4368 nt
Filed under: Leishmania donovani
Lineage: Eukaryota; Euglenozoa; Kinetoplastea; Trypanosomatida; Trypanosomatidae
Description: gene:LdHU3.27.3310(CDS-product:hypothetical_prote in_conserved)
Source: RNAcentral
UCGCCCCAAAGCGCACAGAGACCCUCACAGAGAAGAGCGGGGUGGAAAAUAGCAGCUGGGAGCAAACCUUGUCCCCUCCUCCCCUCCCACGUCGCGCGCACCGCCACUCGGUUUCUCUCGGACACGCACGCAACAGCAUACAGAGCUAGACACCCUCAUACCCUCACGCACGCACUGCUACACGCGGAAACUCCGCUGUUGGCUGCGCGGCUUUAAGUAUAUGGCAGAAAAUAGAGAACAACACCCCCUCUCUCCUUCUCACUCAGAAGAGAGGAGCUGAAGAACAGACAGAGUACGAGGGGGCCACGCAAUGCUGUGCUCCUCACUACCUCCUCCCAUUCGCUUUCCUCCCCUGAAAGUGCCAUGCAGGCUUCCACAUCUCCCUGCUACGCUCAUCUCCGCGGCACUACCGAAUUCUAGUUACAUACACGUAUCUCUUCGCUUUCCAACUCUUCAUCCAGUAACGACGAGAGGUCGUCGAACACGCCCAAACAGGCGAUGACUGGAGGCGCGAGAAGUCAACUCCAGACGAUGUCGCUGUCGGCCACCCGUCUCGUCGACGUGGAUGAGGCGGUCCGCAUUCUUCACGCGGCGUGUCAGCGUCGAGCGAGCGCAGACGCCUUGGCACCACUCGUGCAGUCGGCUCAGCACUUGGCCUCGAACUGCACGCCAGCGUUGUUUUCCAGCGUUCUGGAGGCCUGCGAUGCCACGACGGCGGUGGAGGCCGCGCCGAAGAAGCUGACGAUGCUCAACGCAGCGUGGAAACUGCUUCUCACGAUUGCUACGCAGGAGGGGGUGGGGCCGGCUUACUACAGCGCCGCCGUCGUGCACAUGGUCGAGCAGCUUCGCUGGGGCGUGCUGACGCAUGACUGGAGCGACACCAAGCGCGUUCGUCUGGCCGCGUUUUUUGCGUCGCACGUUGUAUCCACGGUUCGAGCCCAUCCCCAGCUGCUACUCCUCCGCACGCCGGACGCGACAGCCGUGAUUGGCCAGCUUGUACGGCUGUACUUCGCUGUGUGUGUGACGGUGGCGACGAGUAAACGGGACACAGAGGCGGUUUCGCUGCUUUACGACAACAUUGUGGUACGCCUCCACGCCGUCUUCGACUGUCUUGGUAACGCCGCCGCCGCUUCUACCGCAAGUGUAUACAGCAGCGAACCAGAAGCAGAGGCAACAUGCAGCGCUGAGGAGGCGAACAGGGACGGCGCUGCAUCGUCGUCGGCGCGUGGCGAGGCCGCUUCGGGACCUUCAGCUGCCCUACCACCACAGCAACGCUGCGAGAGUCCAUCCAGCGUGGUGGAGGAGCUGCUGACUCACUGCGUAUCGACGGCAGUCGCACGGGAGGUGGAGGAGGCGGCGGACGGCGGGAUGACGGUGCGCAUGGCACUUGCCACUGCCGCACUUAGCCUAUAUCUGCAUGUCGUGCGAGGCGCGCUGGAGGCUACCUCACCGUCUGCUGCCGGCACCGGCGCGGGCUCGGCGACGCAGGAGGGUGAUCCCCGCCAGCGAGACGCAGAGGAGGAUGAAGCGGCGGCCGCCGAGGCGACGCCCGCGCAGGCGUCAAGCUGGCCACGGCUGACCCCACUCGCAACGCAAGAGCUGGUUAUGAAGAGUUUGAUGUGGUGGACGCACUGCACAGCCGAGGAGGGGAAGGCGCACACCUCCGCGACUCGAGCUUCUCUGCUACAGGUGGAGGUACUCACGUGGGCAGCUGCACUGCCGCCGGAUGUUUUCUGCUCCGAAGCCUCAGAUGCGUCAUCAGCAGUGCCUCCGAUGUCGCUGCGAGCGCUGUGGACGGACACACUUGCCACCGUGUGGCAACAGUGGCUUUUUAGCGUGUGCGACGCGUCCCAGCAGAGCAAUGAGCCCAGUUGCGCAGGUGCUGCAGGGUCCCUGCGCGCAAGUGAAUCUCACGGAGCGGAAGCCAUGGCGCCAGCAGCGGAGCUGGACACAUCAGGGCCCCGAGACGGAAAAACUGAGCCGCCUGUAGUUGUCGCCAAGAGUACGCGCUUUGCCUCUCUCCUUCUGUCGUCUGUCGCCGGCACGCUUCACUCCUCUUCGGCUGCCUUGAUGGUGCUCGAGGCGUGGGCGGAGCUCUUCCGUAGAGCGGAAGAGGCAGUGACCGACGUAGCAUCCGCUGUACCGUCUCCGGGUAUACUCUCCACCGCUGACGAUGCAGUGACAAUCGUACAUCUGCUGCUGCGGGUAUUGGCUGAUCUUCGCUGUGGGGCAUCUUCACUCGUUGAGGGCUUCUUGCGGCUGCAGCGACACCAUUUCCAGGAUGGCAGGUGCAAGGCUGGCUCAGAGCAACCGGCGGACUUUGGCAGCGCACAUGCGAUGGUUGCAAUACCGCUUCAAUGGAUCUGCGCAGCGGUAGCGCUACUGGCCUACGGAGAAGAGGUGCUAGGGCUGCAUUCCCCAUGCGCCGUAGCGACAGCUGGAGUAGAGUGCGUAGGUGAGGUUGACGGUGCCGCGGCUGCCAGGGUGAUUACGCACUUAACGGCGGUGAUGCGGGCACACAUUACCCCCCAACUUUGCGCGAGCAAGGCGAGCGAGAUGGCAACCAUAACCGAGGCGCCAGCGGUGACCGACGCCACGGCGCAGAUGCGUGAACUGCUCAUGUCUGUGCGGCAGCACGCGUCUGCCGGUGGGACAGGGCAGACCUCGGCGUCCGUAAAGCUCGCCCGACGUGCCCAGCCUGCCUUGUUGCUCUUGGGUGUACCUCGUGCAUGGCGCGCUCUUGCCGUUGCUGUGGCGCGGCACCGACCUAAUGCUCCAGCCGAUGCGGACGGGGCGGACGCCGCGGAGCGUUGCGCGAUGGAGCUGAAGACAGUAUUGCUGUCUCUUGCGCCGCUACUCGCCUCUCUGACGCACAUCCUGCAGUCGCUAGAAUGUGAGCCGGGUCUCUCGGAGGCGAGCGAGGGGUCGGAGAUGCCAUCUGGUCUACCUUACGCUAGCGUGGCACGCUGGGUGGCCGCGCGGCUGCUGGACGAGGUCGCUGUGGUGCCGCUGACGGACAGCCCCGAGGACGCAGUGUUGGUUGCGUGCGUGCGUCGGUGGACGGACAUUGCCUUUGCAAGCGGAACUUGUUCUGCAAGCGAUGGCUCCGCGGCUGUGCACACUGACGACCCUGUCGCCCUUGCAGACGCUGCUGCUGCGCUGCUGCACGUCUUGGAGUGCACGACGCUGCCGCUGGAGAAGCUGCACCUAUCCGAGCAUGCCACCCACUCACUCAUGGAGCUCCUACAGGGUGGCGAUGGAAGUAUCUCCGGAGAGGUCAACAAGGUGGGAGGCGAUGACGACGCUGAUGGUCGCUGUCCCUCUUGGCCUGCACUGUGGCACCGCGAGGCAGUGCAGUGGUGCGAGAUGGAGAAAUGGCUUCUGGCCCGCCGUCGCGCUAUGGAGGAGAGCGAGGAGGCAGAGGAGUUGGCGUCGGCGCCAACGCUGGCGGAGGAGCUUUACGCGGCGCCUUUGCACAUGGACGCGACGGCGCCGCCCUCGUCUAACGAGGACCUGCGCCGAGGUCUGCUGUAUUGCGAGGCCGUGCUGCGACACCUUCAAGCGCGCAAUCUGGUCUUCCUCGACGAUACAGAGAACCAGAGCAAGCGCCGCAAGACCGAAAACGGCGAUGACCCGCAGGCCGCUGUCGCGGCUGUGGUGCAAAGCGUAGAGCGCAUUCAGGAGCUGAGCCGCGCCGUCUUGCUGCGUGCUGGAAAUGCAAGCCGCACAGCUACUAGCGGCUCUACUGCUGCGAUUGAUAGAGCCCCCCUUCCACCACCGCCUCCUGCCGGGUCUCUCAAGGCGUCGGCGCCACCGGGCAGCGAGGAAGAGACCUGCCGCGACGUUCCCGCCAUCACGCUGACAGACACGGAGUCGGUCGGGUGCCGUCGCGUGCCGUUGUCUGCGCAGGUGAUCGACGUGGGGUAACGCUACGCGAUGCAGCGGGGAGGGCGAAAGUGCAGGAUGGCGUGGGGGGAAAAAGCGAAGUGGAGUGAGUGAUGAAGGCAAGCGCCGAAUGUGCGCGCACUGGCCUCACUCUGGACUUCUCUAGGUUUCCCUCACGCCCAGACAGAUGCACGCGGGGGCAGUAGCACGGUGCUGGAUGAGGGUGCUGCCCCUUGCUGCACCCCUCCCUCCCUUCCCUCUUUUUUAAGUUUCUCGAAGGACACACGGCGUGCUUAAUAGACUCUUGGCUUCUCAGAAGAUGCGGACAACCCCCAAAGAACAAAACGAAAAACGAAAAAUGCACACCACAGUAUCGCGAGCACAAGUGGACGUAUAUGAUAUGUCAGCGUGCUGCCUUCAUCAUCAUCUUUUUCUUUUGUUCGCUCCUUGAGGUGAAUCUCUGACAACCCGUCGUAAGAAGAG